CAUAUGUGUGUGUGUUCCGGGUUUUGUCUUCCCCCCCUGUUUCACACACACCUGCUCAUGUGAGCAUCUUCAUCACCUGUGCCUCGUUCACCCUAAUUACCCCUUGUAUAUAACCUCGUGUCUCAUUUCCUCUCGUUGCCAGUUCGUUGUACCUUGUCGUCGCGUUCCAGCAUUCCUUGUUUCCACGUCAUAGAUUCACAGUUUUUAAUGGGGGUUCAAGGCCCUGAGUUUUUUCCAAACUAAAUGCAUCUAACGAAGCCUUUAUGGAUAUUGCUUUGUGCACUGGGGCACAGCCAUGCUGGAAUAUAAAUGGGCUUUCACAAAACCCACAAAAUGGAGGCACAGAAGAGAAACUAAGGUAACCUGCCUAGACCUUGGCAGAGCAGUGACUUGACCUUUCCAAAAAAUUAUCACUUUGCUGACCACACACCUGAUCUCAUGAAAUCUUCCCUGGUGUUGUUGGCUGAUUGAAAUACUGCCAGACUGCGCUUUUAGACUUCGGUCCAUUCAUCUGCAACAAGGGUUUGAAAAAAAAGAAAGUGUUAAAGAGUGGACACCCUUGGACAACCACAACAAAGCACUUACUGUUGAGUGUGCAUUCUCGCUGCAUCUACAAACCUGUAAUCUGCU
Phyllopteryx taeniolatus (common seadragon) is the source of this 630-nucleotide long non-coding RNA. RefSeq lists it as uncharacterized. The transcript has 5 exons. The record is from RefSeq and is a predicted model, not a curated record. NCBI's taxonomy places the organism in Eukaryota, Metazoa, Chordata, Actinopteri, Syngnathiformes, Syngnathidae.